CAACUUCGGAUCUGUAAUAACGAGAGGGUUGUCUUUCAUGCUUCCUCGGCCUAAAAGAAGUAAGCAUGUGGGCUUCCACCUGAACCCAAAACACUUGCCUUAGCCUAGAUUACAAAUUCAACUUUCUUAUGAAAAAUAACCAUAAUGACAAUUUUUACGGAAAAAUAAAUAAUAAAGAAAAUAAUACAUUUCUAUUCUAAAUACCUCUGACUAUGAAGACAAAGAAAUUAAAGUUAAGCGAAAAGGUGGCCAUCGAGUGAAGGAUUCUAAAUUAGAGUCAUGUCA
This 285-nucleotide long non-coding RNA is filed under the name Ricinus communis (castor bean). RNAcentral's name for it is "long non-coding RNA (RCOM_LNC000988)". Lineage: Eukaryota; Viridiplantae; Streptophyta; Magnoliopsida; Malpighiales; Euphorbiaceae. The record is from RNAcentral.